GUGAAACCGUCUGACCCAUUGAAGAUCACACUGGAUGAUCUCUUGGGAUGUAAACAAGGUGGAACUGUUGCGAGCAUGCUGAUAGAUGUGCGUGGCUUCUGGGCUCAUGACAACCGUGAGAACCUUCUUCAAGAAGAAGAAGAACCACCUGAGGAAGAGUCUCAGUGAAUAUAAUGUUAUUUUCCGUGUUGUAUCUAAUCAUCGAGGUCACGUGCGUCGGACAAAGACCAAAAGUCUCCUCUACUCUCCAAUCUGAUGAGUUUGUAUCUUUGUAUAAGAAGCUUAUUUCGUUCAAAAAAAAUAAUGUAUAAGAAGCUUAUUAGUUGUAAGAAAAUGACUGCUGAUAUUGUGUCACUUGACUUUUUACUUGAAAAUCUGAUUUUUUUUUUUUUUUUUUUUUUUUUUUUUUUUUUUUUUUAAAAAUUUUUAUUCCAACCCGAAACCGGGAAUCACAGCGUCCGUUACAAGCUUAAAUCGACCAAAAUGUUCUAAAUCAGACCUAGCUAGACUAACUUCGCUCGCCCACUAAACCGACGCCAUCCGCUAGCUUCGUUCGGAAAUCCUUAGAAUAUCAAGCACCGUUCUUUGCCGUUGAUGUUAACCACUUGAACGUGGGGUUUACCUCUCGGAUGCCGGUAUUCUCGUGACAUCAACAAACUUGCAGAGAUGUUCACCAGAAAUGGAUAGAAGGUGGGAACUAUGAGCUGUGCAUAGAGGACGUUCGGGACGAGAUCUGGGACAUGGUGAAACCGUCUGACCCAUUGAAGAUCACACUGGAUGAUCUCUUGGGAUGUAAACAAGGUGGAACUGUUGCGAGCAUGCUGAUAGAUGUGCGUGGCUUCUGGGCUCAUGACAACCGUGAGAACCUUCUUCAAGAAGAAGAAGAACCACCUGAGGAAGAGUCUCAGUGAAUAUAAUGUUAUUUUCCGUGUUGUAUCUAAUCAUCGAGGUCACGUGCGUCGGACAAAGACCAAAAGUCUCCUCUACUCUCCAAUCUGAUGAGUUUGUAUCUUUG
This 1015-nucleotide long non-coding RNA is filed under the name Brassica napus (rape). Its description in RNAcentral is "long non-coding RNA (BNAP_LNC012753)". The record is from RNAcentral. Lineage: Eukaryota; Viridiplantae; Streptophyta; Magnoliopsida; Brassicales; Brassicaceae.